RNAcentral lists this ribosomal RNA (123 nucleotides) under uncultured bacterium. RNAcentral describes it as "partial 16S ribosomal RNA". The record is from RNAcentral.
CUGCUGCCUCCCGUAGGAGUCUGGUCCGUGUCUCAGUACCAGUGUGGGGGACCUUCCUCUCAGAACCCCUACGCAUCGUCGUCUUGGUGGUCCGUUACACCGCCAACUAACUAAUGCGACGCA